UUGGAAGGGUGAUUUUUUUUAUAUUAAUUAUUAAAAUUGAUAUUUACGCUGAUACCAAUAUGUAACAUAGGAUUUGAAAUUUUAAAAUCAAAUAAUAUAGAAAAGAGACAUUGGGGGAGAAAUAUAACUUAACUAAUAAUUUGUUAAUAAAAGAAUAUCUAAUUGCACACUCGACGUAGGACACCUUCGGCUGAUUCAUCUAAUUAAUCCACAUCUAGCUAUAUAUAGCUAUAGAGUCAUAACAGAAGACAAAUUCAACUUUUACUUUCGAUAAUUAUAAAUUCUACUCUAAUUAUAUAAAAUUUUAAAUAUAAUUAAAAAUUUUAAAUAUAUUCUAUCUCUAACUAAAUUUUAAAUUAAAUUUGAAUUAACAUUUC
This 377-nucleotide long non-coding RNA is filed under the name Ananas comosus (pineapple). RNAcentral's name for it is "long non-coding RNA (ACOM_LNC002664)". The record is from RNAcentral. Lineage: Eukaryota; Viridiplantae; Streptophyta; Magnoliopsida; Poales; Bromeliaceae.